This 979-nucleotide long non-coding RNA is filed under the name Brassica napus (rape). RNAcentral describes it as "long non-coding RNA (BNAP_LNC017751)". The record is from RNAcentral. Lineage: Eukaryota; Viridiplantae; Streptophyta; Magnoliopsida; Brassicales; Brassicaceae.
UAGAUUCGAUCCAUACUCAUAAUUUCGAAUUUUUUUUUUCUGGUUUUGCAAGUUAGGGCGAUAAAAUUCCCGAUGAUCGAAUAACCUUUAUACAUAGUUUCAGCCUUAUCUGAAUAGAAUACAUCAAUGUAGAAGAACAAUCAUUUUUCUGAGGGAACCAGAUUCGUCCUUUUUUGUUUUGCUUUUCGUUGGUUUUGAUCUUUCCAGGUUUGUUUUUGUUUUGAGGGUACCCAAUGAUGAUUCGAGAAAAUCUCUAUAUCAAGUUUCAGCCUUGUCUGAAGUAAUCAAUGUUGAUAAGUUCUUCGAUUCUGAGGGAAUACUCAUUUGGUUAAUAUGGUCUGUCUUCUGGCACAAACAAGUGUUUUAGUUGUUUAAUUGUUUUCUUCUUGCGAUGGCAUUUUAUCUCUCUCGAGAUAUAGAAUGUGAGCUCAUUAAAGUCAUGAUAAAAAUUGUUUAAUGCGAUAGAUCGAUCAUAGACCGCUAAUCUUUUGUAAAACGUAUAUCAUUGUAGUGAUUGCUUAAACAUUGACGUUGUAUUGCGAUGCUAUUGUGUGAAUUAUGUAUUCCUAUGUGGUGUAUUGUAUAUAAAUGCAAAUAUGAUUCAUAUAACAUAUAACAAAAUACAGCUACUACAACAAUAUGAUUCACGAGUAUGUUGCACACCAACUUUUUAGUAUAUACAAGAUGUUAAGCAUACAAUGUUGCAACACAAUAUAUUUACACAAGUUUACAAUUGAACCAAGGAAGAUCAUACGGUUAUGUCACCGUUCACUAAUAUGCCAAAUAGCAUCAAGAUAACCUCACGUUGAUGAGCAAAACAGAUGGACAUUGUUUUUAGCUGGGUCUGGUCGAUCUUUGUUAUUGGGCCAAACUUUGGGCUUCGUCUUGUUAUGACAAUCGUCGCCAGUUUGUUGUUCGCUUGAAAAUUUCUGUUGUUUUGGAGGACGGUGAAGAAUUUUCGCUCAAGUCAAGACUCAAG